AGAAUCAACGCUGGCGGCGUGCCUAACACAUGCAAGUCGAACGCGGUUACCCCGCAAGGGGUAACUGAGUGGCGAACGGGUGAGUAACACGUGGGUGACCUACCUUCUAAUGGGGGAUAACGUCCCGAAAGGGACGCUAAUACCGCAUAACAUCCUGUCCUUGAACGGAUGGUGAUCAAAGCCGGGGAUCGCAAGACCUGGCGUUUGAAGAGGGGCCCGCGUCCGAUUAGCUAGUUGGUGAGGUAAUGGCUCACCAAGGCGACGA
This 265-nucleotide ribosomal RNA is filed under the name uncultured bacterium. Its description in RNAcentral is "partial small subunit ribosomal RNA". It matches the Rfam family "Bacterial small subunit ribosomal RNA", at positions 26 to 279 of the family's 1533-position model. The record is from RNAcentral.